RNAcentral lists this long non-coding RNA (297 nucleotides) under Malus domestica (apple). RNAcentral describes it as "long non-coding RNA (MDOM_LNC002738)". Lineage: Eukaryota; Viridiplantae; Streptophyta; Magnoliopsida; Rosales; Rosaceae. The record is from RNAcentral.
UCUCAUAUCAUCUUUUCUCCAUUUGCUUCUCCUUAUCCUUGUUGCUGUUUACGACAUAAGGAAAAGGAGAACAAUCAACCGGAAGCCGAAGUCGAACCUCCAAUCCAGGUUGCUUGCUUGGAAGUCAGAUUGCUUACCUUGUUUGUUACCUCUUUCGGCAAAUCUCCUAGCUCGGCGACUUGGGGGACUUCUACUAUAGGGUUUUGUAUCGCACUUGACCAAGCCCGAAACUACAAGUAAGCUUCAAGUGAAAUUGAUACAUUACCUUGUGCAUCUUCAUCGGUUAAAGAUACCACA